GCGUUGUCCGGAUUCAUUGGGCGUAAAGAGCUCGUAGGCGGUUCGAUAAGUCGGGUGUGAAACCUCCAGGCUCAACCUGGAGACGCCACCCGAUACUGUCGUGACUAGAGUCCAGUAGGGGAGCGUGGAAUUCCUGGUGUAGCGGUGAAAUGCGCAGAUAUCAGGGGGAACACCAGGGGCGAAGGCGGCGCUCUGGGCUGGAACUGACGCUGAGGAGCGAAAGCGU
This 226-nucleotide ribosomal RNA is filed under the name uncultured bacterium. Its description in RNAcentral is "partial 16S ribosomal RNA". It matches the Rfam family "Bacterial small subunit ribosomal RNA", at positions 538 to 762 of the family's 1533-position model. The record is from RNAcentral.